AUACGGAGGAUCUGAGCGUUAUCCGGAUUUAUUGGGUUUAAAGGGUGCGCAGGCGGGAGAUUAAGUCGGCGGUGAAAUUUUUCGGCUCAACCGGAAAAGUGCCUUUGAAACUGGUCGGCUUGUGUGUGGGUGAGGGAGGCGGGAUUUGUGGUGUAGCGGGGAAAUGCAUAGAUAUCACGAGGAACUCCGAUCGCGCAGGCAGCUUACCUGGCCAUAACUGACGCUCAAGCACGAAGGCGUGGGGAUCAAACAGGAUUAGAUACCCUGGUAGUCCACGCAGUAAACGAUGAUUACUGGCUGUUUGCGAUACAAUGUAAGCGGCUGAGCGAAAGCGUUAAGUAAUCCACCUGGGGAGUACGUUCGCAAGAAUGAAACUCAAAGGAAUUGACGGGG
This 393-nucleotide ribosomal RNA is filed under the name uncultured bacterium. Its description in RNAcentral is "partial 16S ribosomal RNA". It matches the Rfam family "Bacterial small subunit ribosomal RNA", at positions 523 to 918 of the family's 1533-position model. The record is from RNAcentral.